This 253-nucleotide ribosomal RNA is filed under the name uncultured bacterium. Its description in RNAcentral is "partial 16S ribosomal RNA". It matches the Rfam family "Bacterial small subunit ribosomal RNA", at positions 524 to 776 of the family's 1533-position model. The record is from RNAcentral.
UACGAAGGGGGCUAGCGUUGUUCGGAAUUACUGGGCGUAAAGCGCGUGUAGGCGGGUCUUUAAGUCAGGGGGGAAAUGCCAAGGCUCAACCUUGGAACUGCCUUUGAUACUGAAGAUCUUGAGUCCGGGAGAGGUGAGUGGAACUGCGAGUGUAGAGGUGAAAUUCGUAGAUAUUCGCAAGAACACCAGUGGCGAAGGCGGCUCACUGGCCCGGUACUGACGCUGAGGCACGAAAGCGUGGGGAGCAAACAGG